GAGUUUGAUCGUGGCUCAGAUUGAACGCUGGCGGCAGGCCUAACACAUGCAAGUCGAGCGGAUGAAGGGAGCUUGCUCCUGGAUUCAGCGGCGGACGGGUGAGUAAUGCCUAGGAAUCUGCCUGGUAGUGGGGGAUAACGUCCGGAAACGGGCGCUAAUACCGCAUACGUCCUGAGGGAGAAAGUGGGGGAUCUUCGGACCUCACGCUAUCAGAUGAGCCUAGGUCGGAUUAGCUAGUUGGUGGGGUAAAGGCCUACCAAGGCGACGAUCCGUAACUGGUCUGAGAGGAUGAUCAGUCACACUGGAACUGAGACACGGUCCAGACUCCUACGGGAGGCAGCAGUGGGGAAUAUUGGACAAUGGGCGAAAGCCUGAUCCAGCCAUGCCGCGUGUGUGAAGAAGGUCUUCGGAUUGUAAAGCACUUUAAGUUGGGAGGAAGGGCAGUAAGUUAAUACCUUGCUGUUUUGACGUUACCAACAGAUAAGCACCGGCUAACUUCGUGCCAGCAGCCGCCG
This 515-nucleotide ribosomal RNA is filed under the name uncultured microorganism. RNAcentral describes it as "bacterial SSU rRNA". It matches the Rfam family "Bacterial small subunit ribosomal RNA", at positions 9 to 520 of the family's 1533-position model. The record is from RNAcentral.